GGGCCUGUAGCUCAGGUGGUGAGAGCGCACGCCUGAUAAGCGUGAGGUCGGAAGUUCAACUCUUCCCAGGCCCACCA
This 77-nucleotide transfer RNA is filed under the name bacterium HR10. Its description in RNAcentral is "tRNA-Ile". It matches the Rfam family "tRNA". Rfam says of the family: Transfer RNA (tRNA) molecules are approximately 80 nucleotides in length. RNAcentral also lists the same sequence under 1 other name. The record is from RNAcentral.